Long non-coding RNA from Arachis ipaensis, 1377 nucleotides. RefSeq lists it as uncharacterized. The record is from RefSeq and is a predicted model, not a curated record. NCBI's taxonomy places the organism in Eukaryota, Viridiplantae, Streptophyta, Magnoliopsida, Fabales, Fabaceae.
ACCCUAACACACAAUACACUCAUCCUUCACUCACUAACUCUAGCCGCCACCCUCACCUCCCUCAACACACCCACACACUCAGAGAAUAGAGCGGGGGAAACGGAGGAAGGAAAAAGAGAAGAUAGGGGAGAAGAAGAAGAGAAAAUAAAGGAGAGGGGGAGAGUGCGCCAGUGAAGGCCACUGCCGCUCACUACGCCGUUAUCAUUAUCGAUGAGGGAGGACCGAGGAGAGAGUUUCACGGAGAAGGGAGAGCUCACGAGAGAGAGGAGUGUCGCCAUCGUCGUCACGGCUGCCGGUGUGGAAGACCGUCGCCGCCGUUGAAGAUCUGUCGCCAUUGUUCCUUCGUCGCCGUUCCACUAUUGUUGUCAGGGGUCAAAACACAAAGGAGGAGUCUCUGGUUCACGCUGCUAUGCCUCCAUCACCACCGUUUCAUCACUGAUGCGGCUGGGUUGUCGUCACCGUCGCCGGGAAGGGGAGAGCCGAAGGAAUCCAUCACCAUGCACACCAUCGCCGAAAAGCAUAGAAUGGGGAAGGAGGAAUAGGGGGUUACCACCGUCGUUGGAGAUGGCUGUCGGGCUCAGAAAACCUCGCCACACACCUGUGGCCGCUGGGAACGUCAUUGACGCUCUCGGAGUCAGCCACUGGAGCUGCGACUGCUCCGUUCUUGGUUUCUUUUGUGCGGAUAAAAGACCUUUUCACCUGGAUUUCUAAAUAAGUAUGGUGCGGGAUUUGGAACCUUAGUAUAUUUUAUUGACAAGUGCAAUAAUUGCAUUGAAGUAGGACUUAUCGGUAGUUCUUCGCACAAAUGCAUCUCUAGAGAAUACUUUGAGAGGAUUCUCAACUUUAAUCUAUUAGGUACUGGACUAUAUAUACAGAUUAAAUUUGUUGUAUCAUCCAUUUUCUUUGUAAGCCUGAUGAGAGACCAAAAUUCUAACUUUGAAUUGACUCCAAUCUCUAAAGCAUGUCAAGAAAAAAUUGAGGUCAUUAGCGAGAGAGAUGGAUGCACUCAGUGCUAGGGAAACAAGGUCACUGAAGAAAAAAAGGUCUUUGAGGUACAUGUUGAGAAGGGAUUGCAACGGGGCUAGAAGAUUGUGUUUGAAAAUCAAGCUGAUGAAGCGAUAAGUAGAAAUUAUAGAAUUAAGCAUUGUGGUAUCUGUUCAGAAUUACAAUUCAGUAAUUUAUUUAGUUACUUAUGUAUUAGUCAUGAGAUUGAGAGCCAAUGAUAAAUUCAUUUAGUGUUAUGUUUUUAUCAAGAUAAAUAUUGCUUUUACUUAUAUACAUAGUGCUUAGAUGAGUGUUUGAGCUUAUUCAACUACCUUAGAUAUCUUGCUCGCAUUUAACAUGAAUGAGAUUUUGCAAGAGCAGGAGAUUGUGUAG